UGCCAGCCGCCGCGGUAAUACGGAGGGUGCGAGCGUUAAUCGGAAUCACUGGGCGUAAAGCGUGCGUAGGCGGCGCAGCAAGUCAGACGUGAAAGCCCUCGGCUCAACCGAGGAAUUGCGUUUGAAACUGCUGUGCUUGAGUCUCGGAGAGGUUGGCGGAAUUCCAGGUGUAGGAGUGAAAUCCGUAGAUAUCUGGAGGAACACCGGUGGCGAAGGCGGCUCCCAGGCCCGGGACUGACGCUGAGGCGCGAAAGCGUGGGGAGCAAACAGGAUUAGAUA
RNAcentral lists this ribosomal RNA (279 nucleotides) under uncultured bacterium. RNAcentral describes it as "partial 16S ribosomal RNA". It matches the Rfam family "Bacterial small subunit ribosomal RNA", at positions 506 to 784 of the family's 1533-position model. The record is from RNAcentral.